This 539-nucleotide ribosomal RNA is filed under the name fungal endophyte sp. MS11. RNAcentral's name for it is "eukaryotic LSU rRNA". The stretch from base 201 to 354 matches the Rfam family "5.8S ribosomal RNA". The record is from RNAcentral. Lineage: Eukaryota; Fungi.
UGGUAACGGGGGAGGGGUCAUUAAAGAGUUCUAUAAACUCCCAAACCCAUGUGAACAUACCUUACGUUGCCUCGGCAGGUCGCGCCUACCCCGUAGCCUCCUACCCUGUAGGACCUACCCGGUAGACGCGGGUAAGCCUGCCGGCGGCCCAAGAAACUCUGUUUAGUAUUGAAUUCUGAACCUAUAACUAAUUAAGUUUAAACUUUCAACAAUGGAUCUCUUGGUUCUGGGAUCGAUGAAGAACGCAGCUUAAAUGCGAUAAAGUUUGUUUAUGCAGAAUUCAGUGAAUCAUCGAAUCUUUGAACGCACAUUGCGCCCAUUAGUAUUCUAGUGGGCAUGCCUGUUCGAGCGUCAUUUCAACCCUUAAGCCUCUGUUGCUUAGUGUUGGGAGCCUACGGCACCCGUAGCUCCUCAAAGUUAGUGGCGGAGUCGGUUCACACUCUAGACGUAGUAAUUUUAUCUCGCCUAUCAGUUGGACCGGUCCCCUGCCGUAAAACACACCAAUUUCUAAAGGGUUGACCUCGUUCCAGGUAGGAUUA